Molecule: ribosomal RNA, 423 nt
Filed under: uncultured archaeon
Lineage: Archaea
Description: partial 16S ribosomal RNA
Rfam family: Archaeal small subunit ribosomal RNA
Source: RNAcentral
CUACGGGUGGCACCAGGUACGAAGCCUCUACAAUGCGCGAAAGCGUGAUAGGGGAACUCCAAGUGCAAUAGCUAUGCUAUUGCUGUGGCGAAGCGUAAAUAACUUCGCAAGAAAGGGGUGGGCAAGACAGGUGCCAGCAGCCGCGGUAACCCCUGCGCCUCGAGUCGUGACCAUGUUUAUUGGGCCUAAAGUAUCCGUAGCCGGAGUAUUAAGUUUUCUGUGAAAUCGUGCAGCUUAACUGUACGGCGUGCAGGAAAUACUGUUAUUCUAGGGACCGGGAGGUGUCAAGGGUAUUUCUGGGGUAAGGGUUAAAUCUUAUAAUCCCAGGAGGACCAACGGUGGCGAAGGCGCUUGACAAGAACGGGUCCGACGGUGAAUGGAUGAAAGCUGGGGUAGCAAAGCGGAUUAGAUACCCCAGUAGUC